GAUGAACGCUGGCGGCGUGCCUAAUACAUGCAAGUCGAGCGAACAGACGAGGAGCUUGCUCCUCUGACGUUAGCGGCGGACGGGGGAGUAACACGUGGAUAACCUACCUAUAAGACUGGGAUAACUUCGGGAAACCGGAGCUAAUACCGGGUAAUAUAUUGAACCGCAUGGUUCAAUAGUGAAAGACGGUUUUGCUGUCACUUAUAGAUGGAUCCGCGCCGCAUUAGCUAGUUGGUAAGGUAACGGCUUACCAAGGCAACGAUGCGUAGCCGACCUGAGAGGGUGAUCGGCCACACUGGAACUGAGACACGGUCCAGACUCCUACGGGAGGCAGCAGUAGGGAAUCUUCCGCAAUGGGCGAAAGCCUGACGGAGCAACGCCGCGUGAGUGAUGAAGGUCUUCGGAUCGUAAAACUCUGUUAUUAGGGAAGAACAAAUGUGUAAGUAACUAUGCACGUCUUGACGGUACCUAAUCAGAAAGCCACGGCUAACUACGUG
Molecule: ribosomal RNA, 497 nt
Filed under: uncultured bacterium
Lineage: Bacteria
Description: partial 16S ribosomal RNA
Rfam family: Bacterial small subunit ribosomal RNA
Source: RNAcentral